ACAACCAGCAAAUUCCAAAGACUUCAAAAUCUCUUUCCUCUUCAGAAUUACCUUUUAAAAAAUAAAAAAUAAUAAAAAUAUAUAUAUAUAUAAAUAUUUUCAGUUCUUUGUUUAAAAGUUUGUGUUAAGUCAGUUUGGAAGUUUUUCGGGUUUCCCGAAAGGGAAACUUCACUCUGUUCUAAAGAAUGUAAGUUUUCAUAUUUACGUUUCUAGUAAACUUCCCAUAUAUGUAAAUUAUUUGUGUUUGGUAAAUUACAUGUGAUAUGUUAAUUAUUUGAUAAAUUCAUGAAUCUACAUUACUUAGUAUAUGGUUAGUCUCUUAGCCUCUUAAAAGUAUCGAUGGAUUAACCUGUAAAUUCCUAGGACAUUGUUAGGUUAAACUAAAUGUUCUUAGAGAAGAACUAUGAAUAACCAAAUCAGGGGUGUGGUUAAAGAAGAUUACUUUUAAGAACAAAAGCUAAGAGAAAGAGAUGAACAAUAAUACUAUUCAUGAGUGGACAAAGUCCAUAAAAAAAAGGGAAGAAAAACUAGAAACUAAUAUGAUAAUUACAUAAACAAUUUAAAAUUUUAACGAAUUUAUUGAAAAAGCCCCUACUUCUCACUUAUCUAUUGAAAUAUACCCUACUUUGAAAUAUCCUAUAUUUUGAAAUAUCUAUCCUAUAUUUUGGUGUGUGUGUGUGUAUAUAUAUAUAUAUAGAGAGAGAGAGAGAAAGAGAGAGAGAGAGAGAGCAGUGUCACAACAAAAAAAAUAAUUGACACUAUUUCUAAUAAUUUUAGUUGAAUUAAAUAUAAACCAUCAUGAAGAGGAGAACAUGCAGUAGAGUUUUGAUUCUUACAGAUGCAGUUCUACAUGUUCAAAAUAAUUCAAAACAUUAUUUAUUUGGUUAUUUGCAAAUCAUACCUGGAGGAAAUUAGGAUUCUUCUGUGUUGGCGAUAUUGCUACAGACUCCACCUCAGCAACAUUGAGGACUUGAUGGGAAAAAUCAAACAAUUCAAAAUGCAAUUGUUGCCCAAGCAGGUAGAUUAUUGUACAUCCACCCCAGGCAACUGAAUCGCCCAACAUUUCGUAAGUGUUUGAUUGUAGCUGAAUAGAUUCCUCCAGGUAUUCCUAUGGUUGACACAAAAUCAGAUCAACAGUUUACACCAAAGAUAAUUCCAUUAUCUCUGACUAUCAGAUUACUAAACAAGUUAAUAUGACAUAAGAAGACAAUUCUUCUGACACUGAACACUCGACUCUCUAUUAGACAAAAGUAGGAAAAAGGUCAAACAAAAGGGACAGAGGUAUUCUUUUCUCAAUCAGAAAAAGCUACCGGUAAUAAGUUGUAAUAAGUUGCAGGGAUUCAACAUAAACUAUGACAGUCCAACUGAUAAUUCUUGCUGAUGUAUUAACAGGUAAAUUUGUAACCAGAGACCAACAUGACGUGUGCACAACAAUUUGCUAUAUUGAGGAAUCAUUAGUGUUCAAAACCAAUUUAAAUGGGCAAUUAUAAGUGCAAUGAAAUUUAAUAAAAUAA
Molecule: long non-coding RNA, 1514 nt
Filed under: Solanum lycopersicum (tomato)
Lineage: Eukaryota; Viridiplantae; Streptophyta; Magnoliopsida; Solanales; Solanaceae
Description: long non-coding RNA (SLYC_LNC000884)
Source: RNAcentral